Molecule: long non-coding RNA, 217 nt
Organism: Gadus morhua (Atlantic cod)
Lineage: Eukaryota; Metazoa; Chordata; Actinopteri; Gadiformes; Gadidae
Exons: 3
Source: RefSeq, a predicted model, not a curated record
GAGCUGGCAGGGGAGCCGUGAAUCUGGAGGAUGACCAUCACUCUACCAACAAGGAUUGCGUUGGGGCCAGACUUGCGGUGUUUGUUCCAGACCAGGCCUCUGAGGAGAGCUGAUGGAGGAGCCAAGACUCUGGAGGACGACAUCACUCUACCAACAAGGAUCCUCAUAAGUUUGCAUAAAACCAGGAAUCUGGAGGACUGACGGAGAAGCUGUACAU